UUUGCUUCUUUGUGUCGACGAUGUUAAGAAUUGCAUAAUCGGUCUUUCCCGGUUCGUUUUGAAUGGUCGGCUGGGAACACUAGCGGUGAAGAAGCUCAAAAGAAUGGAAGACGGACAAGUAUCACUAAUCCAUGAUGGCUACCAAAAUCAGUUGUCGCUCAACUUUGUAUUACGCUAUUACCCGAACGUGGAUUACUAAAU
This 201-nucleotide long non-coding RNA is filed under the name Helianthus annuus (common sunflower). RNAcentral's name for it is "hypothetical non coding rna". The record is from RNAcentral. Lineage: Eukaryota; Viridiplantae; Streptophyta; Magnoliopsida; Asterales; Asteraceae.